AGGAAGGAGUAUUUACGGAUUCAACUGCCAAUAGGUAUAAAACUAUGAUUUGCACCACAGAUUUUCUG
Molecule: transfer RNA, 68 nt
Filed under: Laeonereis culveri
Lineage: Eukaryota; Metazoa; Annelida; Polychaeta; Phyllodocida; Nereididae
Description: tRNA-Gly
Source: RNAcentral